AUUGAACGCUGGCGGCAGGCCUAACACAUGCAAGUCGAGCGGAAACGAAGAGGUGCUUGCACCUCUGGCGUCGAGCGGCGGACGGGUGAGUAAUGCUUGGGAAUAUGCCUUAUGGUGGGGGACAACAGUUGGAAACGACUGCUAAUACCGCAUGAUGUCUACGGACCAAAGUGGGGGACCUUCGGGCCUCACGCCAUAAGAUUAGCCCAAGUGGGAUUAGCUAGUUGGUGAGGUAAUGGCUCACCAAGGCGACGAUCCCUAGCUGGUUUGAGAGGAUGAUCAGCCACACUGGGACUGAGACACGGCCCAGACUCCUACGGGAGGCAGCAGUGGGGAAUAUUGCACAAUGGGCGCAAGCCUGAUGCAGCCAUGCCGCGUGUGUGAAGAAGGCCUUCGGGUUGUAAAGCACUUUCAGUAAGGAGGAAAGGUUAAGUGUUAAUAGCGCUUAGCUGUGACGUUACUUACAGAAGAAGCACCGGCUAACUCCGUGCCAGCAGCCGCGGUAAUACGGAGGGUGCGAGCGUUAAUCGGAAUUACUGGGCGUAAAGCGUACGCAGGCGGUUUGUUAAGCGAGAUGUGAAAGCCCCGGGCUCAACCUGGGAACUGCAUUUCGAACUGGCAAACUAGAGUGUGAUAGAGGGUGGUAGAAUUUCAGGUGUAGCGGUGAAAUGCGUAGAGAUCUGAAGGAAUACCGAUGGCGAAGGCAGCCACCUGGGUCAACACUGACGCUCAUGUACGAAAGCGUGGGGAGCAAACAGG
Molecule: ribosomal RNA, 759 nt
Filed under: uncultured bacterium
Lineage: Bacteria
Description: bacterial SSU rRNA
Rfam family: Bacterial small subunit ribosomal RNA
Source: RNAcentral